Molecule: ribosomal RNA, 404 nt
Filed under: uncultured bacterium
Lineage: Bacteria
Description: partial 16S ribosomal RNA
Rfam family: Bacterial small subunit ribosomal RNA
Source: RNAcentral
GACGAACGCUGGCGGCGUGCCUAAUACAUGCAAGUCGAACGAGUGGCGGACGGGUGAGUAACACGUGGGUAACUACCCCUCAGAGGGGGAUAACUACUGGAAACGGUAGCUAAUACAGCAUAAUAUCGGAUUACUCAUUUGGGAUGAGCUAGUUGGUGAGGUAAUGGCUCAAAAAGGCGACGAGUCCUAGCUGGUCUGAGAGGAUGAUCAGCCACACUGGGACUGAGACACGGCCCAGACUCCGACGGAGGCAGCAGGGGGGAAUAGUGCACAAUGGGCGGAAGCCUGAUGCAGCAGUGCCGCGUGUAUGAAGAAGGCCCUAGGGUUGUAAAGUACUUUCAGUCGGGAGGCGUUACCGACAGAAGAAGCACCGGCUAACUCCGUGCCAGCAGCCGCGGUAAUUC